CCUCUCUUAGCGGGUGUUCAGAGAGGGGCCCUGUGCCCUAGGCCAGGGGUCUGCUGGAGGUGUAGGAAGUGGGGUGUGACAGCUCAGCCCUGACCUUGCUUCCUCCCCCCCGGCACGAUGCGCAGGGCUACACUUAAAUCGCGGCAGGGGCUGUGCAUCUGCGCCGCUGUAGCACUUCGGUGAAGACAGGAGAGCGUCUCCCGUCGGCGCAGUUAAGCCACCUCCCAGAGGACAUCGCUACAUUGAUGGGAGAAGCCCUCCCAUGGACACAGCACUGUCCCCUGUGCGGGUGAAGUCGGUCCGGGGGCUUGUCCAGGAUGCAAGCUUGUGAACUGAUUGAGGAACUGAGACUGAAAUCCAAAAGGAGUGCCAGGUCUUGUCUGGCUCAGAAGUCUCUGACUUGAAGAACUGCGAUUGCAUGAAACCAACAGGUCCCUGAAAUCUCCGUCACAGAGCAAAGGGGAUGAGCGAGAGGACAGGAGAUACUGCAAUUUGCUGGGGAUGGGACGCCUGCCAAGAAUUUGUCAAGUUCACUGACAGCAAUAAACAAUCUCUGAAGGAGGGAGCUGAAAAACUUUGCCAGCAGGGAAGGCAGAGUUCACAAAGCAAGAUACAUAUCAUCAGUGUAAUAUUCAAGAUCAUCUUUGGACUGAGAUUUUUUUGAAGCAUGGCCUAGUGGACAGAGCCCGGGACUGGGUGUUGGGAAACCUGCAUUCUGUUCCCGGCUCCACCACUGACCUGCUGUGUGACCUUGAAUAACCCACUUUGCCUCUGUUUCCCAUCCUAUCCUUUGUCUGUCAUGUCUAUUUAGAUUAUAAUGUAUCACCAGUAAGAGAACUCUCCAAACUCAAGAGAUCUAGAAAAUCUAAGUUCAGGUUUUCAAGGGUCCCUGGAGGCAAUGACCCUGUCUCCUUCUUUCAGACCACUUUUAAGAUGCCCUUGACAUAAGAUCCUUGUAGAAGGUUCCCCCAGGACCUUCAGAUCUGAAGUCAGCAUUGAGUGAAUGCUUCACACACACCAGGGAGAAUGCUGAAUGGCAACCACAGAACUGGCCAAUUGGCCAGAUUUCUUCCCCAGCAUGUCACCAAGCAACAGAGAGCAUUUACUCUUGUCAUCUGAGUGCUCCAGGGAUAGCGCUGCAUUGCACUCACACACUCCUGCUCCGUCAUGCCCAGGUCUAUGGCUAUGUCAGGAGACACUGCUAUGAAGAGUUCUCCUUCAUCAGGAAUACCAGCCAGCAAGGGGCUAUGGGGACCAUCUCAGCAGCUUUACAGACACCAGUUCCCGGAUGCUCAAUAAAGGGAUAAAGCA
Molecule: long non-coding RNA, 1311 nt
Organism: Chelonia mydas (Green sea turtle)
Lineage: Eukaryota; Metazoa; Chordata; Testudines; Cheloniidae
Exons: 3
Source: RefSeq, a predicted model, not a curated record